RNAcentral lists this ribosomal RNA (327 nucleotides) under uncultured eukaryote. RNAcentral's name for it is "partial 18S ribosomal RNA". It matches the Rfam family "Eukaryotic small subunit ribosomal RNA", at positions 1470 to 1796 of the family's 1831-position model. The record is from RNAcentral.
CCCUUAGAUGUCCGGGGCCGCACGCGCGCUACAAUGGAUGAAUCAACGCGUCAUCCUGGCCCGAAAGGGUUGGGGAACCGCUGAACCUCAUCCGUGGUUGGGAUUGGGGUUUGUAAUUAUUCCCCAUGAACUAGGAAUUCCCAGUAAGCGCGAGUCAUAAGCUCGCGUUGAUUACGUCCCUGCCCUUUGUACACACCGCCCGUCGCUACUACCGAUUGGAUGGUUUAGUGAGAUCCUCGGAUUGGUCACGGCACGGUGGCAACACUGCGUCGGUGUGCCGAGAAGACGAUCAAACUUGGUCAUCUAGAGGAAGUAAAAGUCGUAACA